RNAcentral lists this unclassified non-coding RNA (353 nucleotides) under soil metagenome. RNAcentral describes it as "partial contains 5.8S ribosomal RNA, internal transcribed spacer 2, and large subunit ribosomal RNA". The stretch from base 1 to 120 matches the Rfam family "5.8S ribosomal RNA", at positions 35 to 154 of the family's 154-position model. The record is from RNAcentral.
GAUGAAGAACGCAGCGAAAUGCGAUAAGUAAUGUGAAUUGCAGAAUUCAGUGAAUCAUCGAAUCUUUGAACGCACAUUGCGCCCGCCAGUAUUCUGGCGGCCAUGCCUGUUCGAGCGUCAUUACAACCCUCAGGCCCCCGGGCCUGGCGUUGGGGAUCGGCGGAAGCCCCCUGCGGGCACAACGCCGUCCCCCAAAUACAGUGGCGGUCCCGCCGCAGCUUCCAUUGCGUAGUAGCUAACACCUCGCAACUGGAGAGCGGCGCGGCCACGCCGUAAAACACCCAACUUCUGAAUGUUGACCUCGAAUCAGGUAGGAAUACCCGCUGAACUUAAGCAUAUCAAUAAGCGGAGGA